GAUGAACGCUGGCGGCGUGCCUAAUACAUGCAAGUCGAGCGAACAGACGAGGAGCUUGCUCCUCUGACGUUAGCGGCGGACGGGUGAGUAACACGUGGAUAACCUACCUAUAAGACUGGGAUAACUUCGGGAAACCGGAGCUAAUACCGGAUAAUAUAUUGAACCGCAUGGUUCAAUAGUGAAAGACGGUUUUGCCGUCACUUAUAGAUGGAUCCGCGCCGCAUUAGCUAGUUGGUAAGGUAACGGCUUACCAAGGCAACGAUGCGUAGCCGACCUGAGAGGAUGAUCGGCCACACUGGAACUGAGACACGGUCCAGACUCCUACGGGAGGCAGCAGUAGGGAAUCUUCCGCAAUGGGCGAAAGCCUGACGGAGCAACGCCGCGUGAGUGAUGAAGGUCUUCGGAUCGUAAAACUCUGUUAUUAGGGAAGGACAAAUGUGUAAGUAACUAUGCACGUCUUGACGGUACCUAAUCAGAAAGCCACGGCUAACUACGUG
Molecule: ribosomal RNA, 497 nt
Filed under: uncultured bacterium
Lineage: Bacteria
Description: partial 16S ribosomal RNA
Rfam family: Bacterial small subunit ribosomal RNA
Source: RNAcentral